GAUGAACGCUGGCGGCGUGCCUAAUACAUGCAAGUCGAGCGAACAGACGAGGAGCUUGCUCCUCUGACGUUAGCGGCGGACGGGUGAGUAACACGUGGAUAACCUACCUAUAAUACUGGGAUAACUUCGGGAAACCGGCGCUAAUACCGGAUAAUAUAUUGAACCGCAUGGUUCAAUAGUGAAAUACGGUUUUGCUGUCACUUCUAGAUGGAUCCGCGCCGCAUUAGCUAGUUGGUAAGGUAACGGCUUACCAAGGCAACGAUGCGUAGCCGACCUGAGAGGGUGGUCGGCCACACUGGAACGGGAACACGGUCCAGACUCCUACGGGAGGCAGCAGUAGGGAAUCUUCCGCAGUGGGCGAAAGCAUGACGGAGCAACGCCGCGUGAGUGAUAAAGGUCUUCGGAUCGUAAAACUCUGUUAUUAGGGAAAAACAGAUGUGUAAGUAACUAUGCAGGUCUUGACGGUACCUAAUCAGAAAGCCACGGCUAACUACGUG
RNAcentral lists this ribosomal RNA (497 nucleotides) under uncultured bacterium. RNAcentral describes it as "partial 16S ribosomal RNA". It matches the Rfam family "Bacterial small subunit ribosomal RNA", at positions 28 to 507 of the family's 1533-position model. The record is from RNAcentral.